Molecule: long non-coding RNA, 1324 nt
Filed under: Homo sapiens (human)
Lineage: Eukaryota; Metazoa; Chordata; Mammalia; Primates; Hominidae
Description: non-protein coding lnc-GRAMD2A-6:1
Source: RNAcentral
AAAUUGAAGCAAAUCAACAGCAAAUACAGCAGGAUUCAGGGAGGCUUAGUUUACAACGUACUUUGUACCUCCUGCCAUUUAAAUUAUUUUGCCACUCUGGGCUUCUGAAAACACAAAGGGAGAUACAGCCCUCCAACUAUGAGCCUUGCAGAGAGAGACAAAAGGGCCAGAGGUCCUGGGAUGGAAUACUAGAGCCCCCACCUUCUCAUGCUUUGGAAACCUGCCAGAGCACUUACCCUGCUGGAAGAUUAAUGAAGACUCCAUUCUGUGUUUCAUAACAGUAGCGUUGUUUUCUCCAUCAAAAACAGAGGGUCACAGAAAUGUGCUGAAAAGAUGUGGUCCAGCAAGGUUCUGUAGUCCCACCUCAGUGCCUGUGGGCUGUGUUUUUCACUGUAACAAGCACUUUGGUAAACUAGAAAGAAGAAAGGAUUCUCAGGAUGUGUUCAAAGCUAAGAGAGUUUUCAUUUUAAAAAGAAACAUACAUACUCACUCCAUGGCUUUCCUCAUCCUCCUCUCUUUUUUCUUCUUGGUGGGAAGCUGGAUGCGGGGCAUGCAUCAUUCUGUAUGGACAAAUGUGUUAUGUCCACCCAUACUCUUGUGACAACUCCCCAGCACUGUCCUGCAAUACCAUGCUGGCCUUGGUAGUAAAACUCCUUGGUAUCUGUGAGAGUCCUCUUUUUCUAUGCCCUAGACUACUUUUAACCACUUUUCUCUGGAAUGACUCCCACAUUUGAUUGGGUAUUGAAAGGGUAACAGCAAAAUGAUGAUUGUGGAGAUGGAUCUAUUAGGUCUCAUGUUGGUCCCCUGGUUGAAACUAUUUUCAAAAAAGCCCCAACAAUGGGCCUGUCACCUUGCUAGUCAUCCAUUCUUAAUGCCUAUUUAUCAGCCCUCUGAGGUCAUAUAAAAGUUGCACCUUUUGAACCAAGUAUUUGUAUUUACUAUGGGAAAGGUGUGGACUACAGAUUCGUAUUAUAUUAUUUUAAUGGAUUUUAAGUAAUUUAUAAGUAUGCUGAGUGUAAAUUUUUUUUAAAAACUGUAUUAUAAAAGGACAUAUCCUGUGAAAUAUAACAUUUUACUGUUUAAUAGAAUAAUUCUAUAAGAAGAAUGAUUUAUCUCACCCACGGAACUGAUUACAUUCCGGAUGCAAUCAAUAGGCACUUUGUAAUUUCCUUUUUGUUUUUUUUUCUUUGCUGGGGGGUUGAGGGGUAACAAGAUACCAUCUGUAUAAAGUGCAGUUUGUGUCACUCAAAAUAUGCACUGUAUGGCUACACAAAAGCAGCUUGAUGAACAAAUCACCCCAUGGCUCAUUAAAGAACAAAGCUUC